UAGGGAAUAUUGGUAAUGUGCGAAAGCGCGAACCAGCAACGCCGCGUGCGCGAUGAAGGCCUUCGGGUUGUAAAGCGCUUUUUAUGGGGAUGAGGAAGGACAGUACUCAUAGAAUAAGCCUCGGCUAACUACGUGCCAGCAGCCGCGGUAAAACGUAGGAGGCGAGCGUUAUCCGGAUUACUGGGCGUAAAGCGUGUGUAGGCGGUUUGAUAAGUUGGAUGUGAAAGCUCCUGGCUUAACUGGGAGAGGUCGUUCAAAACUAUCAGACUUGAGAGUGGUAGAUGGAUGUGGAAUUCCGGGUGUAGUGGUGAAAUGCGUAGAUAUCCGGAGGAACACCAGUGGCGAAAGCGGCCUCCUGGCCCAUUUCUGACGCUCAGACACGAAAGCUAAGGUAGCAAACGG
Molecule: ribosomal RNA, 402 nt
Filed under: uncultured bacterium
Lineage: Bacteria
Description: bacterial SSU rRNA
Rfam family: Bacterial small subunit ribosomal RNA
Source: RNAcentral